GUCCAGGUUAAGACAUAGCACAAUGCAACACCCAUGAAAUCACUGUCAAUUCAGCUUUUUUUUUAUUAAAGAUUAAAAAUUAAAAAAAAACCAACACUUGAUUUGAUACCCUAAUAUACAUAAAGUCACCAUGAACUCAAGUGUGCUAAAAGCAAAACGUGAAUCGAGAUGCUCACUUCUGCAGGCACCCCACCAUCAGUCCCGGCUGUGUGUGCAGUGCUCCAGCAGCUCCUGCUGCUCCUCCUUCCCUGAAGGCAAGGGCCGGGCUGCUGCCAGGCACAGCUGCUCCAUCAGCCCCGAGCAGGGCUCCUGCUGUCACCACAACACAACCGCCGUGCGCAGACUGAGCCUCUCCUGGAGUCACCCAGCAGGAUCUAAACCGCACGAGGGCUUCUUCUUAAGAGAGCAAGGUAGUGAGUGUUAUCUGGGCCGCUUACAGGGGCCGAGAGGAUGAGGCAGGGUUAAGAGACCACAGCUGCGCAUCCAAAGAGCUUUGCUACUAAAAAACCUCCCUCCUCCCCAUCCCGUCCCCCCACUCUCAUACAAACAACCCCAGCUACAAAAAGCCACACGCGCACCGUCCACGCGCCGACGCGGGUCUCGUUCGGCCGUGAGCCCAUCGGGGCGCCGGGAGCGCCGUGUUCCAAUCCCGAGGCACCGCCCCGCCGCUCGCGGCGUUACCACGGCCUCCACAUGGACUUGGGCGAGCCGGGCGAGGGCACGGCGCGCGUCUGCGCCGCCUCCAGUCCGUGGGCGGGGGUCUGUACCGGCUCGGCCUCCGCCUCGUCCGAGUCGGAGCACGUCUCCUCACCGGACGACGGCGAGGGCAGCGCCAGGCCCAGGGCCGCCUCAGCCAGCGGGAGCGCGGCGUCGCCGCCCGGCCAGGGCUCGGCCAGAACGUCCGCCAUCAAGUCCCGCAGGCCGCCCUCGCUGAGCGGCAUGGACUCCAGCAGGUGGUUGAGCAGCUCGGCCGCCGUGGUGGCGUCGAUGCCGGGGCAGCCGGAGACGAAGGUGUGCACCUCGUGCAUGCACUGGAUGUAGCCGGCGGCGAAGCGCUCGCUGGCCUCGCGGUGCAGCCGCCCGCCCUCGAGCGCGCGGCGCUCCAGCACGGCCUGCCCCCGCCGCACCGUCAGCUCCAGCACCUCCGCGUUCUCCAGCUUCGCCUCGCCGCCGGCCAGCAGCCGCCGCAGCUCCCGCAGGCUCUCGUUGAUCCGCGCCCUCCGCUUCUUCUCCACCAGCGGCUUCCGCGCCCUCCUGUCCGCGCCGCCCGAACCGCCCCGCGGCGCGCGGCCCUUGCCGUGCCGGAAGGACGGCGCCAUCCCGCCGCGCUCCUCCGCGGCCCCGCGCCGCUCCCCGCCCCGCGCCGCCCGUCUUAUAGCCGCCGCUUUGCAUCGCCGGCAGCCCAUUGGCCGCGCCGCGCGGGCAGCGCCGGAGCGUGGGCCGAACGGCCCAAUGGCGGCCGCGCGCUUUGUCUGCUGCGGGGCCGUGCGGGUGGGCGCUGCGUCGCGGUGUGCCGUGCGGCGCGGCGCUGUGCGGUGCUGUGCGUCGGUGCCCGGGGCUCCUGCGGCGGGCUGCGCCCCCGGCCCCUCCCUGCGCAGCCCCGGCCCCAGUCCCGGCCCCGCCGGCGGCCGCUCCGGCCGGGUGUGAGCAGCGGCGCCGACGCGAUUGAGUCCCGUUUUGGGACGGGUGCUCGGCCGCCGUCCGAGCGCUGCGGCUGCGCCCCGCGCUGGGUGCCCCCCCGCCUCGGCCGUGCCCGUGCGGGAACGGAAGAGCGGAGCGCCCGCUGCGGGCGGCGGUCCCUGCGGCCGGAGGCUGCCGGCCGCUCGGCGCUCCGAGCCUUUUGUCUUCGCCCGGCCGAAGCCGCCCCGUGGCGCAGCCGCCGCCCCGAACCCCGCCGCGCCCCGCGAGCCGUCCUCGAGCCGCGCGUGCCGGGAUGGCGGCCGCAGCCCGCGCUGGCGGUGCCGGGGCUGCCGUACCCGGACCGCGUGGUCCCCCCGCCGCUCCCCAGCGCCGGCCGAGGCCCCGGCUUUGUGCCGUAACUUGAUGCUGAUGACAGUUGGCAGCUGCAGUUCCCCCAACAGACCGAACCGAAUGAAAGCGUCGGGGCUCGUCCCUGAGGAGAGCGACAGGUGUUCGCUCCCGCUCCUUUGUUUCCCUCUUUUCAUUCUCCUCGCUAAUGUGUGUCA
This 2186-nucleotide long non-coding RNA is filed under the name Gallus gallus (chicken). Lineage: Eukaryota; Metazoa; Chordata; Aves; Galliformes; Phasianidae. The record is from RNAcentral.